UAUUUCUGACAGAAUCAAAUUCCAUAAUUAAAAUAUUUUCCAACAUCCUUCAUUAAGAAACUUUAUCAUUCUAGGAGGAAUUGUCGAUAAGGAUCUUCGUCACUACCUCAACUUACGAUUUCAGAAGGGUUCUGUGGACCACGAACUGCAGCAAAUCAUCCGUGACAACCUCUACCUCCGCACGGUGCCAUGAGAAACCUGGGUUUGUGGACCAUGCGUGGGAUAGGCAGAUGGUAUGAAUACUCUCGGGCUUCAAUGGCUCCAGCAUCUGGCCUAGAGAAGAAUCAGAGGGGAGUGCUGAAAACCUUUUCUCCACUUCCAGAAAAGCCGGUAAUCAUAGUCAGUGGAAAACAGCUCAUCUUUCAUGGAGCCCAGAAUCUGCUCCCUGUAGACAUCGAAAUUAUAACCCAGUUGUAUAUAAAGAGGUCAACAUAUCUCAUUGUAUG
Molecule: long non-coding RNA, 446 nt
Filed under: Mustela putorius furo (domestic ferret)
Lineage: Eukaryota; Metazoa; Chordata; Mammalia; Carnivora; Mustelidae
Description: lncRNA (ENSMPUG00000029546.1)
Source: RNAcentral